This 457-nucleotide ribosomal RNA is filed under the name uncultured Anoxybacillus sp. RNAcentral describes it as "bacterial SSU rRNA". It matches the Rfam family "Bacterial small subunit ribosomal RNA", at positions 924 to 1382 of the family's 1533-position model. The record is from RNAcentral. Lineage: Bacteria; Bacillati; Bacillota; Bacilli; Caryophanales; Anoxybacillaceae.
CACAAGCGGUGGAGCAUGUGGUUUAAUUCGAUGCAACGCGAAGAGCCUUACCUGGCUUGACAUCCCGGGAAUCCCUUGGAAACAAGGGAGUGCCCUUCGGGGGACAGGGUGACAGGUGGUGCAUGGUUGUCGUCAGCUCGUGUCGUGAGAUGUUGGGUUAAGUCCCGCAACGAGCGCAACCCUCGACCUUAGUUGCCAGCAUUCAGUUGGGCACUCUAAGGUGACUGCCGGCUAAAAGUCGGAGGAAGUGGGGAUGACGUCAAAUCAUCAUGCCCCUUAUGACCUGGGCUACACACGUGCUACAAUGGGCGGUACAAAGGGUCGCGAACCCGCGAGGGGGAGCCAAUCCCAAAAAGCCGCUCUCAGUUCGGAUUGCAGGCUGCAACUCGCCUGCAUGAAGCCGGAAUCGCUAGUAAUCGCGGAUCAGCAUGCCGCGGUGAAUACGUUCCCGGGCCUU